Molecule: ribosomal RNA, 301 nt
Filed under: uncultured bacterium
Lineage: Bacteria
Description: partial 16S ribosomal RNA
Rfam family: Bacterial small subunit ribosomal RNA
Source: RNAcentral
CAGCCGCCGCGGUAAUCCGGAGGGGGCUAGCGUUGUUCGGAAUUACCGGGCGUAAAGCGUGCGUAGGCGGCUUUGUAAGUUAGAGGUGAAAGCCCAGGGCUCAACCCUGGAAUUGCCUUUAAGACUGCAUCGCUUGAACGUCGGAGAGGUGAGUGGAAUUCCGAGUGUAGAGGUGAAAUUCGUAGAUAUUCGGAAGAACACCAGUGGCGAAGGCGACUCACUGGACGACUGUUGACGCUGAGGCACGAAAGCGUGGGGAGCAAACAGGAUUAGAUACCCCCGUAGUCCCUGUCUCUUAUAC